CCAAGGAGUCUAACAUGUAUGCGAGUCAUUGGGAAUUACUAAACCCAAAGGCAUAAUGAAAGUAAAGAUCCAAUUUUAUGGAUAUGAGGAGAGAUCAUGGCUUUAAGUCUUGAUAUUCCGCAAGGUUUAUUGAGUAAAGUAUGCGCAUCUCCUGGAUGUCUUAACCUUCGAAGGUAGGGCAUACCUAGAGCAUACACGUUGGGACCCGAAAGAUGGUGAACUAUGCUUGGUCAGAACGAAGUCAGGGGAAACCCUGAUGGAGGUUCGUAGCGAUUCUGACGUGCAAAUCGAUCGUCGGAACUGAGUAUAGGGGCGAAAGACUAAUCGAACCAUCUA
Molecule: ribosomal RNA, 336 nt
Filed under: Morulina verrucosa
Lineage: Eukaryota; Metazoa; Arthropoda; Collembola; Poduromorpha; Neanuridae
Description: eukaryotic LSU rRNA
Rfam family: Eukaryotic large subunit ribosomal RNA
Source: RNAcentral